This is a non-coding RNA of Pelobates cultripes (western spadefoot toad), 1613 nucleotides long. NCBI's taxonomy places the organism in Eukaryota, Metazoa, Chordata, Amphibia, Anura, Pelobatidae. The record is from the annotation of a GenBank genome assembly.
CAAUAUUCUACAAUAAAUUAAAUAUUCAUGUUGUAGUAUUUUUAUGGAGAGAAUUGUGUACUGAGAGGAGGUUAACCCAUUGUAUGCUGGUAGGAUUGUUGUAAAUGAAGCUGGGGCAAUCUGCAGAAUGCUUUGUGUUGCUGUGUGGUGCCCAGGGCGUGGGCACACUUGUGGGUUUUUUUGUGGCUUUUUAUAUCUGACUGUUGCUGAGCAGCUGUUUGCAAACUUCCUCCUGUUCCAGAUCAGAUCCGCUGUCACACUGUGCUACAAGUGAAUCUUCUUAUUCGAUUGUGUUGUGGCAGUAAUGCAUAAAAGUGUGCAAAAGAUACAUUAAAACCUGCUGUUUCUGCACUGCUCCUGCAAUGACUAGGGACGUGGCUGACCUGUUCUCUGUGGAUAUCCCCAAAACCCUAUACCAUGUCACUGUUUGAUGAGCUAUUGAGCAUGUUCAUGCCUACAGAGCUACAUGGUGCUGGAUGUCCUGUCCUGAUACCAUGAAUGAAAGGUUUUUCCCCGCAGUGUGCGCAGUUUCCAGAGGUUCCUGUUUCUAUAAGCGGUGAUUUAUAGAGCGGUAGGUAUAGACUUUCCUGGUUCCAUAUUCCAGCUCUCAGCAAAUAGAAGAGUGUGACUUACCAUCCAGACAAGUAGGUAUUGGUAGUGGAAAAACUAUGAAGCUUGGUGGACACUCAGAAAAGUUCUCCCGUCUCCCUUUAAUAAAUAAGUCUGUUUCAAGAAGGAAAUGCUGACCAUUCAUUCUCACUGUGUACUGUCGGGAGUCAGAGAUUUAGCUCUCUUUCAAUAAAUCCACAAAGUCUUUAUAAUCCUACCUGGGUCUGUGGGGUCGUACUAGCUUGGUACGCUUACCUUGAAUGUCAAUCCGGUAUUUCCCAACCUUUACGGAUAUUUUACCGUCACGGACUGUGAUAAUUCACUACUUCUUCUCUCCACUGCAUCCACCUCGAUUUAUACCACGUCUACAUUACUCUGAGAUAUACAGCUGACUGGGAAAACGUUUAAGCUGCUAUCUCCCAGCGACUUAUCACUUUAUUAUUGUUAUUGUUAUUAUUGGUAUUUUAUAAAGCGCCAACUAAUUCUGCAGCGCUUUGUCACUUCUCCAAUACUUACUCCGGCUAGAUUGUACGCCAUUAAUAGAAUACCUACCUUACACCGUUAUAAAGGGAUACAGUCAUGCCCUUACUGGGCCCUCUGCUCCCCUACCGCGAUCUCAUUAAAAAAGUGGGUAUUGUACUUCUCUGCGGUCCGUCCAAGUUGCCAGUGUGUUUGAAUCAAGUGAUGUCUCGUCGUUCUGUUCCUAUAGUCCCUAGCCAGUGCCAGCUAGGGUGUUACCAGAAUUUGAUAUUUAAAAGCAUUUCACUGUCCCUGAAACUGGAUCUUGCGAUUUGAAAUCUUGUUUAUUAUAUAACAUUGGCUUAGACAAUAUUCUCCAUAAAGUGUCCAUGAAUCCCCAGCCUACAGGCUUAUUGCGUCCCCUGGGAUUGCCCUGUGCCAUUAGCCGCACCUCGCUCUGAAUUCUGGGCACUGCCAACUCUUCCAUUACUGCGAUCUCUGGAUUAUCAAUAUUUCCAUCGGAAUAAAACCAGCCAAUCCCUACA